Molecule: transfer RNA, 78 nt
Filed under: Candidatus Cloacimonadota bacterium
Lineage: Bacteria; Pseudomonadati; Candidatus Cloacimonadota
Description: tRNA-Ile
Rfam family: tRNA
About the family: Transfer RNA (tRNA) molecules are approximately 80 nucleotides in length. Their secondary structure includes four short double-helical elements and three loops (D, anti-codon, and T loops).
Source: RNAcentral
GGGCGUGUAGCUCAGUUGGUUAGUAGCGCGUCCCUGAUAAGGACGAGGUCCCUGGUUCGAGUCCUGGCCCGCCCACCA